CUUGAUUGAGGUUGUUAUCGAGAUUGUAUGGGAGAAAUUAGAUUAUUGCUAAGGGCCUACGACAAGGUUGCUGCCUAUCCCCGAUGUUAUUUAAAAUCUAUCUAAAUGAAGCUUUAGAAAAAUGGAGAAGAUCGAGUAGAGGAAUGGGAAUACCAAUUGAUGACGAAACAAGUCUACCGGGUGGUGGAUCGUCGCUGGAAACAUACGAAAUCCCAUGCAAAUUUUAUCCAAAUAUUGGUUAGGUUUGGUUAGGACAUGACUGUUUAUUUGGCUUCUUAUUAGAUCGUUCUCUGAGUGGUGGUAGUACGACAUAUCUAGUUUUUUCAGUGGAGAUAAUCAUGUCUAAUUCUGGGCUUACUUGGUAGAAUUUAUGAAACUGCCUCUGGAUAUCAUCCUCCGUCUCCGCGAUAAUGGCUGCAUCAUCGGCCGUAGCA
This is a long non-coding RNA of Sitophilus oryzae (rice weevil), 434 nucleotides long. RefSeq lists it as uncharacterized. The record is from RefSeq and is a predicted model, not a curated record. The transcript has 3 exons. NCBI's taxonomy places the organism in Eukaryota, Metazoa, Arthropoda, Insecta, Coleoptera, Curculionidae.